Long non-coding RNA from Callithrix jacchus (white-tufted-ear marmoset), 3275 nucleotides. The record is from Ensembl. NCBI's taxonomy places the organism in Eukaryota, Metazoa, Chordata, Mammalia, Primates, Cebidae.
AUGUUUAUUCACCAAACACAGAGAUGGCCCUCUAGGUUCUCCUCCACCAUCCAACCCUCUUCUACCUCAGGGAAGAGUGGUCACCAGCCCACUCCCAGGCCAGGAUCCCAGCACACUCACCUCUGGAGACUGGCUACGACGAGGGGCAUCCAGACUGCUCCUGCAGCGAGAGAGACUCUGGUUAGACACAAGGAAGAACUUGCUGCCACUGAGGGAUGUUCAGCUCGGAGAGAGAAGGGGAGUCUCCUGAAGUGCCAUGGCAUUUCGAAUUGAGGAGGCAAUGGCAUUUGUCAUUUGUGUUAACAAUACGCCACACCAUUGAAAACUGUACAAUGGCUGCAGCCAGCAGUCUAGGAAGUUUCGCAUCUGAAAUCAAAAGCUAGAGCCACGAAAACAGCAGGUCGUGGUGGAACUGCCUCUAAAAUAAAUGGAAACACUCGCCUGACUAAUUUGAAAUUCAACUCACAAAAAGGAAACAAAGCCAAAUUGUUCUUUUCCUGUUUCUAAUAUUUUUGCUCUCACAUUUGGAUUAGUUAAUCCAACUACCUGUUUGUGGGUGGGCCUGCUGGGGACCAGAAUGGAGCGCUAACUUGCCCAAAGGCACACAGUGUGGCAGGCAUGUUUGGCCUGACCCCUUUCUACCUCUCCGGCAGGCAAUUCAGUGUUGGGAAAAUCUUGGCUACAACGAAAUGGUAUUCCUAGAAGCAGCUAGGCACUGCAAUUUGGUUUGUUGUGGGGCUUUGCAGUUUCUAAACUAAAUGAUUUAUUAAGAAUAGAUGUGUGAGGCCGGGCGUGGUGGCUCCUGCCUGUAAUCCCAGCUACUCCGGAGGCUAAAGCAGGAGAAUCGCCUGGACCCAGGAGACAGAGGUUGCAGUGAGCCAAGAUUGCACCAUUGCACUCCAGCCCGAGCAACAAGAACAAAACUCCAUCUCAAAGAAAAGGACUAGAUGUGUGAGAUACUAUCUCACGCCAGUUAGAAUGGCGAUCAUUAAAAAGUCAGGAAACAACAGAUGCUGGAGAGGAUGUGGAGAAAUAGGAAUGCUUUUACUCUAUUGGUGAUAGUGUAAAUUAAUUCAACCAUUGUGGAAGACAGUGUAGCGAUUCCUUGAGGAUCUAGAACCAAAAAUACCAUUUGAUCCAGGAAUCUCAUUACUGGAAAUAUACCCGAAGGAUUAUAAAUCAUUCUACUAUAAAGAUACAUGCACAUGUAUGUUUAUGGCAGCACUAUUCAUAAUAGCAAAGACUUGGAACCAACCCAAAUGCCCAUCAAUGACAGACUGGUUAAAGAAAAAGUGGCAUAUAUACACCAUAGAAUACUAUGUAGCCAUAAAAAAGGAUGAGUUCACGUUCUUUGUAGGGACAUGGAUGAAGCUGGAAACCAUCAUUCUCAGCAAACUAACACAGGAACAGAAAACUAAACACUGCAUGUUCUCGUAAGUGGGAGCUGACAAUGAGAACACAUGGACACAGGGAGGGGAACAUCAUACACCGGGUCCUCUCCAGGUGGGAGUAGCUAGGGGAGGGAUAUCAUUAGGAUAAAAACCUAAUGUAGAUGAUGGGUUGACAGGUGCAGCAAACCAUCAUGGCACAUGAUACCUAUGUAACAAACAUGCACGUUCUACACAUAUAUCCCAGAACUUAAAGUAUAAUCUAAAAAAAUAAGAACAGAUUUGAAAGCAGCAAAAGGGGUUGAUUUCAAUGCUUCAUCUAUGGGAAGAUUGCCAUGAUCUCUCAGCAUUUCUAUCCUAAGCUGCUCCCUCCCCUAGGAGGUGCUUUAUGUGAACCUGGGGCUGGGAGAUUCUGUGUGGGAACUGAGCUGGAGAAAAGAUCAUUUGAGGAAGAUAGCCUCAUAUUUCAGUGGUCACUGCACAGACUGUCUUCAUGGUGCUUGAAUAAAAAGCAGGAGGUUUCAUACUGAAGUUGUUUCUCUUUGGCUAGUCCUUCUACAGAGCUUUGGGGAUGAAUUCAUUCCGAAGGCAAUAUUUUCUAAAUUGCCAGUGUGACUCUGAAGCCAACUUCAUUCUGCUUUUGGUUUAUUCCUAAACUUGAUAGAAUCCCAAGUGUUAAUCUCCGGCUGAUAUCUAACCAUCCUCUUCCACUACGCUGUCAUGGCGGGGAUUUAUGGCUGGGUGACGAGCUGCCACAUCUCUCUGAACCCUGAUGAAGACACAGAUAACAUCAUCAACUCAUCACUGAACCAUCCCCAUCAACCCCGCUUUAAUCACCCCCAAGACUGAUAACCAUUGGAGGCUGUUAAUACCUAGCAAAUUAUCUAAUCCACAUGUUGUUCGAUCUAUGUAAACUCCAGCCCAUGAGGAUCAUAAAAUAAAUAAGCGUGAAAUGGCUUGCAGUUUUGAAUCUCCUCUCACCUAGAUAGGCCAGGCUGUGUGAUUUCAGCCGCUGUUAUGGCUCCCACCUCCUUCCUAGAGGGAAUGAGCAGCACAGGUUCCUAUGUGGGCCUAUUGGAGACUGUUUCUGGGAUGGAGGCCACACACACACACCCCUGUCUGUCCCUCCUGCUCUCCCUCCCACAUCCCAAAUGAAGUCAAGGCUUCAUUUCACUGAUAUGUUAAUCACUGAAAUAGUCUUUUCCUGCAAGACACAGGCAUGGUGAAUUAAGAUGCUGGAUGAUUUGCAAAACGAAAAGCAAGCUGUUCCUUGAAAAACAGAGGGCUGGUAGGAAUUUGUAAUGAUGAGAGGCAGGCAGAGAGGGGAGACAGAAAAGGAGGUCGGCAGCUCUAGGGGAUGUAAGGAGCGAUAAAAUUAGACUGCGUUGUCUAGACAUAAGCACAGGGUUACUGAGAGGUUUUGCGUGUGUGUGUGUGUGUGUGUGUGUGUGUGUGUGUGUGUGUGUGAAUAGGGCCCAGCCAAAUGGCCUCUAAAUCCCUUUUUGUUGCUGAAAUUCGUCAAGGCUAUGUCUAAAAGCCUAUAAUUCUAAAAUUCUGUAAUUCAUAGAUCUGAUACUUCUCUAACAAAACAGACACUCCCUGAUUCUAAGGUUCUGUGAUUCUAAGAGUUUGUAAUCCAGUGAGUCUGUAAUUAUAAACUGCUAUGAUUCUCUAAUUCUAGACACUAUGGUUCUAAUUCUACCAUUCCAUGAUGCUAAUAUCCUGUGAUUCUAAGAUUCUAUCAUUCAGUGUUUCUUUAAUUUAAUAUCCGCCAUUCUCAAGUUCUAUAAUGGAAGAGGCCAUGAUUCUGUAUUUCUAUAAAUUUAUUCUUUGAUAUUUCUAAUGCUCUACAAUUCUAGUAUUCUAGAAUUUUGAUUUCAUAAUCCU